GACAGAGGGUGCAAACGUUGCUCGGAAUCACUGGGCGUAAAGGGCGUGUAGGCGGGAAGGAAAGUCAGAUGUGAAAUCCCCAGGCUCAACCUGGGAACUGCAUUUGAAACUCCCUUUCUUGAGUACCGGAGAGGAAAGUGGAAUUCCUGGUGUAGAGGUGAAAUUCGUAGAUAUGGGGAGGAACACCGGUGGCGAAGGCGGCCAUCUGGACGGAUACUGACGCUGAGACGCGAAAGCGUGGGUAGCAAACAGG
This 253-nucleotide ribosomal RNA is filed under the name uncultured bacterium. Its description in RNAcentral is "partial 16S ribosomal RNA". It matches the Rfam family "Bacterial small subunit ribosomal RNA", at positions 524 to 776 of the family's 1533-position model. The record is from RNAcentral.